CGCCUCUUGUAAACUCCCAAUAAGAGGUCCCGCCUGCCCUGUGACUGUAUGUUUAACGGCCGCGGUAUUUUGACCGUGCAAAGGUAGCGCAAUCACUUGUCUUUUAAAUGAAGACCCGUAUGAAUGGCACCACGAGGGCUUAACUGUCUCCUUUCCCCAGUCAAUGAAAUUGAUCUCCCCGUGCAGAAGCGGGGAUUCUCCCAUAAGACGAGAAGACCCUAUGGAGCUUUAGGCUCCAGAGCAGACUAUGUCAAACGCCCUUGAAUAAAAGACAAAACUUAUUAACUCCUGCUCUACAUGCCUUUGGUUGGGGCGACCACGGGGAAACAAAAAACCCCCACGUGGACUAGGAGCACCAAUACUCCUAGAACCUAGGACCACCUUCCUAAGCAACAGAACUUCUGACCAAUACAAGAUCCGGCACUAAGCCGAUCAACGAACCCAGUUACCCUAGGGAUAACAGCGCAAUCCCCUUCUAGAGCCCAUAUCGACAAGGGGGUUUACGACCUCGAUGUUGGAUCAGGACAUCCUAUUGGUGUAGCCGCUAUUAAGGGUUCGUUUGUUCAACGAUUAAAGUCCU
This 580-nucleotide ribosomal RNA is filed under the name Gymnogeophagus gymnogenys (smoothcheek eartheater). RNAcentral describes it as "partial 16S ribosomal RNA". It matches the Rfam family "Bacterial large subunit ribosomal RNA", at positions 1816 to 2597 of the family's 2925-position model. Lineage: Eukaryota; Metazoa; Chordata; Actinopteri; Cichliformes; Cichlidae. The record is from RNAcentral.